This 428-nucleotide ribosomal RNA is filed under the name uncultured bacterium. RNAcentral describes it as "partial 16S ribosomal RNA". It matches the Rfam family "Bacterial small subunit ribosomal RNA", at positions 354 to 796 of the family's 1533-position model. The record is from RNAcentral.
GUAGGGAAUAUUGGACAAUGGGGGCAACCCUGAUCCAGCGACGCCGCGUGAGUGAUGAAGGCCUUCGGGUCGUAAAGCUCUGUUGCAGGGGAAGAACACAAUGACGGUACCCUGCUAGAAAGGAUCGGCUAACUUCGUGCCAGCAGCCGCGGUAAGACGAGGGAUCCUAGCGUUGUUCGGAAUUAGUGGGCGUAAAGCGGGUGCAGGUGGCUUGGUAAGUCAGAUGUGAAAGCCUGGGGCUUAACACCAGAAGUGCAUUUGAUACUGCUGAGCUUGAGUGCUGGAGAGGCUAUUAGAAUUCAUGGUGUAGUGGUGAAAUACGUAGAUAUCAGGAGGAAUACCGGAGGCGAAGGCGGAUAGCUGGCCAGACACUGACACUCAGACCCGAAAGCGUGGGGAUCAAACAGGAUUAGAAACCCCUGUAGUCC